RNAcentral lists this ribosomal RNA (609 nucleotides) under Alexandrium sp. 2 TN-2020. Its description in RNAcentral is "partial 28S ribosomal RNA". Lineage: Eukaryota; Dinophyceae; Gonyaulacales; Pyrocystaceae. The record is from RNAcentral.
AAAUGGGAUUCCUUAAGUAAUUGCGAAUGAACAAGGAAAUGCUCAGCUUGAAAAAUGGGGCCUUUGGCUUUGAGUUGUAAUUUUGAAAUGUAUUGCCAAUAGAGGUGCAAGUGCAAGCCUAUUGAAAGAAAGCGUCAAUGAGGGUGAGAUUCCUUUUUGUCAUUUGCAAUCCUCCAUGCMCGGUAUAUGCUUGACGAGUCACACUCCUCGGCAUUGGAAUGCAAAAUGGGUGGUAAAUUCCAUGUAAAGGUMAAUAUAUUAUUGAGAUUGAUAGCAAACAAGUACCAUGAGGGAAAUAUGAAAAGGACUUUGAAAAGAGAAUUAAAAGAGUCUGCAUUUGCUGAACAACAAGCAAACAGAAUUUGUUUAAUUGGKGAGAUUGUUGUUUCCUCUUGAAACAAUGUAUGUUAAAGAGAGGUGCAAUGGUUCUUUCCUUGAAUGUCACUUUCUAUUUCGGCAAAUCAUUAUCCUUGUACAUGAAUGGUAAUUUGCUUGCGGGCAUUGGGAUAUGUGUACUUGCGAUGMUUUGUGAUUUGAUACACGUGUCUGGUGACUUKUGUUGGGGCUCUCUUUGUCGACAGAAUUUUUCUGCUCUGAACGCAUCAAGCC